RNAcentral lists this ribosomal RNA (275 nucleotides) under uncultured Delftia sp. RNAcentral's name for it is "partial 16S ribosomal RNA". It matches the Rfam family "Bacterial small subunit ribosomal RNA", at positions 338 to 605 of the family's 1533-position model. Lineage: Bacteria; Pseudomonadati; Pseudomonadota; Betaproteobacteria; Burkholderiales; Comamonadaceae. The record is from RNAcentral.
CCUACGGGGGGCUGCAGUGGGGAAUUUUGGACAAUGGGCGAAAGCCUGAUCCAGCAAUGCCGCGUGCAGGAUGAAGGCCUUCGGGUUGUAAACUGCUUUUGUACGGAACGAAAAAGCUCCUUCUAAUACAGGGGGCCCAUGACGGUACCGUAAGAAUAAGCACCGGCUAACUACGUGCCAGCAGCCGCGGUAAUACGUAGGGUGCGAGCGUUAAUCGGAAUUACUGGGCGUAAAGCGUGCGCAGGCGGUUAUGUAAGACAGAUGUGAAAUCCCCG